AGCCGGAUCACAGUGACGUAUUAUCACACAUUAGUGGGCAGGGCAUCAUGGACUUGGAAUUUGAGAGUGACGAGAAGAUUAUGUCUCCUCCAGCUCAUAGACACGAGUUAGGUUACGUAACGUCACAUAAAGGACCUGUCCUCUGUUCUAAUUUUAGCCACGACGCCUUAACGUCAAAUAUGGGAGGAGUUUGGCUACUGAGCGGAGCAAAUCAUAUAGUCAGUAAGCCAGUAUUAUUAACAUCUAAUUAAUCUACAAUAUGAUGCUUUUUGAUUGAAUUGUUCAGAUAAGCACUAUAAGUAUAAUUUUGUUGAUGGUGUCACUGUAGUUGCCGCCAUGGACCAUGGUUAUUAGUUGAUUUGAUCAUAUUAUGUAAAUUAUGUAGUAUUAUCAUAAGAAUGUGACACUCAAAAGUAUUUGUUACAUUAGGAUCUUUCAAAGGUUAUUUCUAAUGCUGUAUUAAUAGUGCCAAUUAACAAGCUCCACCUUGGACCACCUACUAUGCUACAAUUGUUUAAUCUUUUUUGAUUGCCAGAUUAGUCAUUUAUGUAAGCUGACUGUAAUGUCAUUGGAAAUCUUCAGUCUACUUUACUAAUAGUGCUGAAAAUCAAAGGGAUGAUUGUAGGAAAUGAUGAGGUAUAUAGGUAUGAAUUAAAUGAAUGAAUGUUGAGCACAAAGGAAAGGUUAGCAGUUGAGGAAUACUCUCUAAAGAAAUUAACAAUAAAAUCACUAAAGAAGCAGAAAGUUUACAGUCCAUCAGUCAGUCACCCUACAUUCUACAUAAAAGUAUAAUUCUUCAUCUUGGUAUUGUAUUCACAAUUUCACUUUUUUAAUAUUAAAUUUAAAUUAAUAAUCCACUCUUGCCUAUUCUUGGCU
Long non-coding RNA from Amphimedon queenslandica, 876 nucleotides. RefSeq lists it as uncharacterized. The transcript is spliced from 6 exons. Lineage: Eukaryota; Metazoa; Porifera; Demospongiae; Haplosclerida; Niphatidae. The record is from RefSeq and is a predicted model, not a curated record.